CCUACGGGGUGCAGCAGUGGGGAAUAUUGCACAAUGGGGGAAACCCUGAUGCAGCGACGCCGCGUGAGUGAAGAAGUAUCUCGGUAUGUAAAGCUCUAUCAGCAGGGAAGAAAAUGACGGUACCUGACUAAGAAGCCCCGGCUAACUACGUGCCAGCAGCCGCGGGAAUACGUAGGGGGCAAGCGUUAUCCGGAUUUACUGGGUGUAAAGGGGGCGUAGGCGGCGCUGCAAGUCCGGAGUGAAAGCCCAGGGCUUAACCACGGUACUGCUCUGGAAACUGUGGAGCUUGAGUGCGGGAGGGGCAGGCGGAAUUCCUAGUGUAGCGGUGAAAUGCGUAGAUAUUAGGAGGAACACCGGCGGCGAAGGCGGCCUGCUGGACCGUAACUGACGUUGAGGCUCGAAAGCGUGGGGAGCAAACAGGAUUAGAUACCCCUGUAGUC
This 440-nucleotide ribosomal RNA is filed under the name uncultured bacterium. Its description in RNAcentral is "partial 16S ribosomal RNA". It matches the Rfam family "Bacterial small subunit ribosomal RNA", at positions 338 to 795 of the family's 1533-position model. The record is from RNAcentral.